Long non-coding RNA from Carassius carassius (crucian carp), 2263 nucleotides. RefSeq lists it as uncharacterized. The transcript has 2 exons. NCBI's taxonomy places the organism in Eukaryota, Metazoa, Chordata, Actinopteri, Cypriniformes, Cyprinidae. The record is from RefSeq and is a predicted model, not a curated record.
UCCACAAGUGAUCCAGUCCAUCAGUGAUCGAAGACAAAAGCUCACUGGAUGUGUUUCAUCUUUUGUCUUCUCCAGAUGUUAACUGAUCGACUGGAGUGCUGUGGAUUAUUGUGAUGUUUUUAUCAGCUGUUUGGACCCUCAUACUGACGGCACCCAUUCACUGCAGAGCAUCCAUUGAUGAGACACUGAUGCAGUGACACAUUUCUCCAAAUCUGUUCCCAAGAAGAAAGAAACUCAUCUACAUCUUAGCUUUUUCGGAUGUUUUGUAAAACAAGACCAAGAAGCUGUUUUGCAGUGUGUCAGGUCGCCGUGUCCUCAUCAGCUUGUGUGUUAUCGUGGCUUUGGUACAUUGCAGAGAUUUGAAGAAAUAACUUCCAAACGGUGCUGGGGUUAUACAUGACACAUGUAUAGCAGGAGAAACGAUUAUAUGGAACAGACGUUUAGGAUCGAGAAGGACAGAAGCAGUUCUUCAGCGUGUGUAGUCACUUUUUUCCUUCAUGCUGCUGUUUUUUUUUUUUUUUUAAUGAUUUGUUUUCACUGAUGUGUUUUGUUUUAUCUUCCGUGAGAUUAGCUGUAGUGUUUGGGCAACGCUUUACUUUCUGAAAACUGUUUAGAUGAUGAAUUUGUUUGGUUGCGUGUGUAUUGGUUGCUGUAUUGGUCCCAGAUUAAUAGGAUUUUUGUAUAUGUUUGUGUGCAAAGGAAAGACUUUUUCUUGAGUUUCUUUUAUGUUCUUCUCUGUGCUGUUUGUUGUUUUACUUGAAAUGUCCUGUCUUGGUCAAUCACGAUGCACUUCUAAAAGAAAUAUCGAAAAUUUAAUUUUUUGAUAUCCUUGAUGAAAAACACCAACAUAUGUUAGAAAUGUCUUUACACUCUUAAGAAUAAAGGUGCUUCACAAUGCCAUAGAAGAACCUUAAAUGGUUCCAUAAAGAACCUUUAACAUCUGAAGAACCGGAAAGCUUCUUUUUUGGUUCUUCAGAUUAUAAAAAGCAAAGAAAGAGAUGGUUCUUUAAAGAGCCUUUAACCAAAUGGCAUCGCUGUGAAGAACCGUUUAAAGCACUUUUAUUUGUAAGAGAGUAGAAGAAUCACUCUUCUAUAGGAUAGAAACACAAGGGCUUAUGUUAUAACACUAAAGGCACGGGAUGCAGUUCUUACUUCCUUCGUUUCAGGGCUUCCCCUUCGUGCAUUUUACAUUUUAUGACCUUGAUCUGAAAACUAUUCAAUGGUGUUCAUUAAGAGACUCUUCUCCGUCCAUGAAAAUAGCUGCUAGCUUGAUUACCUUCUAGGAUAGUUUGACAUUACAUUCAAAGAAGUUGUGUUAUUGAAACUGAUCAAUACCUCUUUAACAGUUUACCGUCACUCAGGCUGAAAUCUAUUGGCAGUCAUUGAAAUCUUUGUGAUUGUGAUACACUUGUCUUUAGAUUCCCAAAGAAUGGAUUCGUUCCAGCUACCAAAGAUACGCCACCAAGAUAAAAUAAAAAACAAACAAAAACAAAAAUUCCAUGCGAGUGAUUAAGUUGCUGAUGAGUUUGUUGUCAGAAUCACCUUUUUCCAUUACUUUGACUGCUGGUCCUUCGCCCACUUUUCAGUGUGAUUUUACUGUUGAUGUAUUUAGUCAGAUCUUCUGCACUAAAGUUAUUUCUUAUGCAAUUCACCUCAUGAAGGAAAAUGGGAUUUAUUUUGAUAAAUCGUUUCAUCCAUUAUUAACACAAAACUUUAAACAUGGUUUUGAAACUAUGAAAUGUGUUGGUUUUAAUUCAGAUUGAUUGCAUAUAUCUAAAUUAUUAUGGAGUCUCAACAGCUGGGAUGAUGCUGAAUGUGAAAGCCAGUACUCUGUUCUCAUCGAUCGGUUCAGAUUUUCAAAGAAAAGCUCAUUUCUUAGUUUCAAAAUGCAUUGCUGCUAACAUGUGGUGUUCAGGCUGUUCACCAGAUGAAGCCAUAAACAACAGAACCAUUCAGUUAUUGUAGCGCCGCUGUAAUCCAAGUGCCUCAAGACAUAACCUGUGUGUAGUUGUUUCUGGUCGGUAGACAGUAUCAAGAUGUCUAGAGAUGGGAAGUUGUGAAGAAGUCAGUACUGAAUACUGUACUGAACAAAUGGCUUGUCUCUUGAACAGCUUUUUUAAACAUUCUUUAUUUAUACAAUAACACAUUUUGUACAGGUAUCUGGAAAACCAGUUUGGUUGCAUGUUAACCGGAGCUUCUAGCCAGAAAUUUGUCUUCCUGUGCCACAGUUUGAUUUUCUCGUACUUUUUUUUUUUUUUUUUUU